GCAAUAAUGGCCCUUAUUUACCUGGGAUACUGAGUGUCCCUUGUCUUUCAAAGAAGGGCAAGCACAUAUGAGACUUAACAAUUUCUGAAAACAGGCUCCAGUCAUUUAUGUCACCUAGGUGUUUUUAAAACUCUUAUUCAAUAUUAUCAUUGACUGUGGACAGAAUGUUUUACAUUAUCAUGUUAUUUUGUUGUAACAACAUUUAAAAAAUAACAUAGCUAACAAAAGUUAUUAAACAUAUUAAAAUAGGAAGUAAUGCACAAGAUUCUUAGAACCUGAGUGUACCUGAAUUCUGCUCUGCAGAUCCUGGGUCCCUCCAGAGACUGUUUAUGCCAGAUUUUGUAGAAUGGAGAGCUGAGAACUUGGAUGACACUGCAAAAUUCUUUUUACUUUGAAUCCAGGUGUCCAAAAGUUAAAAAUUAAUGUCUUCAUCUGCUUUGUCAACUAACCUUCAAAAUGUUGUCCUGUGAUAAGAAACAGCACAUAACUGCAACUUUAUCUUAAGAUUAGAGCUGAUUUUGAAGUAUGUUUUCUGCUGGUGCUCUGUGCAGAGUGCUGUACUUAGACAGGAGGAGAUUUAAUAGGAGAUAAGCCGUAUUGUUACCAGUAUGGCAUGAUUUCCAGUAGCUGUGGAACAGAUUAGGGUCAUCAGCAGAGAGAACAGCAGAGCUUUACCAGCACAGCCCAGUAUGGCUUACACAGGCAGAGAAAGGAGAUAAAUCCACAGCUAUCAAAGUGUCAUCUCUUCAAUCUACCUGGACCUACUUGGUCUCACUUUUGUGGCCUCCCUGGACCCCUCCAGUGUCAAGACUUCAGCCUCCUUGGAACUCUUUAAAAUCUUUUCAGAUCCUUUGGAUUUAUCCAGUCUGAGCACUUUGUCUUCUGUGGACUCCUCCAGUCUCACUUCUUCAUCUUCUCUGGACCUUUCAAGUCUCACACCUUCAGCCUCUUCAGACUUCUCCAGUACCUCCUCAGAGCUCUCCAGUCUCACCUCUUCAGAUUCCUGGGAGCGCUCCAGUUUCACCUCUUCGAUUUCACUGGACCUAUCAAGUCUCACUUCAUCAGAGUCUCUGGAUCUCUCUGGCGACAGUUCUUCAAUCUCCUUAGAUCUCUCAAGUCUCACCUCUAUACCCUCCCCAGAUUUCUCCAGUCCUACUUCUUCACCCUCUCUAGACCUUUCCAGCUUCCCUUCUUCAUCCUCUCUAGAUGUUUCCAGUCACGCCUCCUCAUCUUCCUUGGACUUUCCCUGUACAGUGCCUUCACCCACACUAAGUGUCUCAGACACCUCCUCAACCUCUUCAGAAUCACUAGAUCUUACUGAUUUUAACUAUUUCAUGUUUCAGGGCUCCUCUGAAUUAUCCUCAUUGGCCUCUGAGGAUGUUGCUAAUCUCAUCUCUACACCCUUUCUGGAUGUCUCCAAUCUCACCUUUCAGGAUGCUUCUUCCCUCACCUCCUCAGUUUCUUUGGACAUUUCUAAUCUCACAUCUUUAGUUCCCCCAGACCUAUCCACUGUCACAUUUCUGGAUGUUGCUAAUUGCACCACUUCAGCUUCUCUUGAUCUCAGCAUCUAA
Molecule: long non-coding RNA, 1571 nt
Filed under: Otus sunia (Oriental scops-owl)
Lineage: Eukaryota; Metazoa; Chordata; Aves; Strigiformes; Strigidae
Description: lncRNA (ENSOSUG00000007879.1)
Source: RNAcentral